Long non-coding RNA from Ficedula albicollis (Collared flycatcher), 2688 nucleotides. The record is from Ensembl. Lineage: Eukaryota; Metazoa; Chordata; Aves; Passeriformes; Muscicapidae.
UCUGCAGCAGUGCUGCCUCUUUGCAUUUUUAGUGUUGACCUUGAGCCUGAGUGGUUGGAUAGUGUGCAGAAAAAUGGAGAAUUAUUUUAUUUAGAAUUUAGUGAAAGUGAAGAAGAAAUUCUGCUUCAGAACAGCUGUCCAGAAAUGCCAGCAGUGAAUCAUGUCAGGUUUCGUGAAAAUGAAGCUGAAAUUAUUCAGGAGGGAUCACGAAAGGAAAGGAAGUAUGAACUGAAGAAAUGGACCAAAAUGCUAAAAAAGAAGAGUCUUUUACCAAAGGGUUCUGGUAAGAAAGGCAGUGGAACCUGCAAUGUUCUCCCCUCAGGUCCUACUUCCAUAUUGAAACACCGGUCUCCUCAGAAAAUGGGUGUCCCUGUUCAGCAAAAGUACAAAGAUGUGUCUGUUUAUGUAAAUCCCAGAAAACUCUACAGCGCUGAGGAAGAAGAGCAGCAGAGGCUGCUGGAGGCCUUGGUAGGGAUUGUCCAUCAGUCUUCAUGGAGCAGCAAAAGAGUGGAAAAACAAGGCAGGAGGGAUAAAGCCACCAGAGGAGUCAGUGAAGAGAAGCUUGUGGUACAUGGCUUGGUGCCAGGUAGUUCUGCAAUGAAAACAGGUCAAAUCCUGAUUGGAGAUGUUCUUGUUGCUGUAAAUGAUGUCGAUGUGAAUUCUGAAAACAUAGAGAGGGUUUUGUCUUGCAUUCCAGGUCCUAUGCAGGUUAAACUGACAUUUGAAACCUCGGUAUUUGAGCCUGAAGGAACUUCUGAGCAAAGGAACAAACAGACACAGUCAAGUAUGAACAACCUGGUUCGGCUCCUGUGGGGAGGGGACAGUGUGGACCUUCAGCAGGCUGCGCAGGACGUGCCUCACAUUGUCAUGUUCCUCACGCUGAAACUGGACUCUGAGACAUCCAAGGAUGAGCAAGAAAUUAUUUAUCAGUACCCCAUAUCUGAAGCAUCCCAAAAACUGAAAAGUGUGAGAGGGAUAUUUCUCACACUGUCUGACAUACUGGAAAGUGUUACUGGUACCGAGAUUAUCAGUUCCUCCCUUUUCUUAUGUGAAAAACUGGUUCAAGUUGUUUACUGGAAAGAAUCCGACAAGUUGCUUGUAAUUGGCCUUCCUGAAGAAAAUGUCCCACUUUCUCAUCUGAGGAACAUGAUUCAAGAUGUUGUCAGGACCUUGACAUUCAUGUACAGUUCUUUGGAUAGUGCUUUUUGCCAGGUGGAAAAUGUUUCUCGCCUGGAUCACUUUUUCAACCUGUUCUUCCAGCGUGCCCUUCAUCCUGCGAGGCUGCAGCAGCAGGAUUCCUGCAGUGCCCUGUUCCUGGACAGCCUCCCAGGCCUGCGCUGGCUGACACUGCCUCAGGAAAUCAAGAUGGAAAUUGACACAGCACUGAGUGAUCUGGAAGCAGCUGACUUUGCAGAGCUGUCUGAAGACUAUUACGACAUGAGAAGAUUAUAUGUGAUCCUGGGCUCUUGUCUCUUUUACAAGGGUUACUUGAUUGGCAAUCACUUGCCAAAGGAAGACCUUCUUGAUGUGGGUCUCUACUGCCGGCACUACUGCCUGUUACCCCUGGCAGCAGAGCAGAGGAUUGGGCAGUUGGUGAUUUGGAGGGAGGUGUUCCCACAGCACCACCUCCAGCCCUGUGAGGAGGCAAGUCUGACAGGAUACAGGGAACCUGAAGCAAGAUACUUCCUACUGAUAGUUGGCUUGAGACACUUCGUCCUGUGUGUCCUGCUGGAGGCAGGGGGCUGUGCAUCCAGAGCUGUUGGGAAUCCAGGACCAGACUGUAUCUAUGUAGACCAGGUCAAAGCAACCAUACUGCAGCUGGAGGGAAUAGACGCCAGCAUAGAGGAAAGGCUGGACUCUCCCUCCAUCCCACCUGUAGCCUGUGCUGACUGGUUCCUUCCUGCAGCACGGGACAGACUGGAGGGCUUGAGCAAGCUGCAGAACUCCUGCAAAGCUGUGAGCAGUGCAGGGAGCAAGAGGAGCCUCUUUGGGGACAGCUGCCACAGCACACGGACGCAGAGCCCCCCGAGGAGCAGCGGGGCAGCCGAGCAGGGCGGCCAAGGGCCCGCCCAGGAGGAGAGCUCCAACCCACAGCCUGUGGGGGAGCAGGUCAGGCAACACGGGCACAGAGAACUGAUGAGAAAAAAACACAUCCUGCCAAACCCAUUUCAUUCAGGAAACCUUAAAAAGAACCCUUCAGAGAAAGAUACAGAACUUCUUAAUGCUAUCAAGUUGACAUCUGGUCCUGAGAAUACCCUCUUCCACUAUCUGUCUUUGGAGACAAUGCAAGGAAUUUUUAUUACUCCAACUCACAAAGAAGUAGCACAGCUUGGUGGCUCCAUCCACCCUCAGUUAAUUGAGAAUUUCUACCAGUGCUGCCUUUCAAUUCGUUCCAUUUUCCAGCAGUCCAUGAGGAAAGAGAAAAAGAAAAAGGCAGGGAGUGGGAUUUCAGAAUUUAGUAAGGCAGCUGAGGACCCAGGUCUGGUAAGAGAACAUGGACUUCUGUUUGAGUGCUCUCCUGAAAACUGGACUGACCAGAAGAAACCACCACCAACAAUGAACUACUGGGUUGUGGGGAGACUCAUUCUCCAUCCCAAACCUCAGGAGUGUUACGUGUGUUUCCAUGACUCAGUGACAGAAGCUGCUGUGGAACUGGCUUUUAAACUGUCCUUUGGCUUAGCUGCAUAG